AUACGGAGGGUGCAAGCGUUAUUCGGAAUCACUGGGCGUAAAGGACGCGUAGGCGGGUUGGCAAGUCAGAUGUGAAAUCCUACAGCUUAACUGUAGAACUGCAUUUGAAACUGCUAACCUAGAGUAUGGGAGGGGGAGAUGGAAUUAGUGGUGUAGGGUAAAAUCCGUAGAUAUCACUAGGAAUACCGAAAGCGAAGGCGAUCUCCUGGAACAUAACUGACGCUAAGGCGUGAAAGCGUGGGGAGCAAACAGGAUUAGAAACCCUUGUAGUCC
Molecule: ribosomal RNA, 273 nt
Filed under: uncultured bacterium
Lineage: Bacteria
Description: partial 16S ribosomal RNA
Rfam family: Bacterial small subunit ribosomal RNA
Source: RNAcentral